GUUGAAACACUGGUGCUCGUCCAAUCAACGAAGUUGAGCAACGUCGAGCUUGGUCAGUACCUAGAUGGGUGGCCGCUUGGGAAUACUAGGUGCUGUAAG
Molecule: non-coding RNA, 99 nt
Organism: Acanthosepion pharaonis
Lineage: Eukaryota; Metazoa; Mollusca; Cephalopoda; Sepiida; Sepiidae
Source: the annotation of a GenBank genome assembly